RNAcentral lists this ribosomal RNA (442 nucleotides) under uncultured bacterium. RNAcentral describes it as "partial 16S ribosomal RNA". It matches the Rfam family "Bacterial small subunit ribosomal RNA", at positions 338 to 795 of the family's 1533-position model. The record is from RNAcentral.
CCUACGGGUGGCAGCAGUGGGGAAUAUUGGGCAAUGGGCGCAAGCCUGACCCAGCAACGCCGCGUGAAGGCAGCAGGCUUUCGGGUUGUAAACUUCUUUUGUCAGGGAAGAGUAGAAGACGGUACCUGACGAAUAAGCCACGGCUAACUACGUGCCAGCAGCCGCGGUAAUACGUAGGUGGCAAGCGUUGUCCGGAUUUACUGGGUGUAACGGGCGGUUAGCCGGGUUGACAAGUCAGAUGUGAAAUCCUGCGGCUUAACCGCAGAACUGCAUGUGAAACUGUUGAUCUUGAGUACUGGAGAGGCAGACGGAAUUCCUAGUGUAGCGGUGAAAUGCGUAGAUAUUAGGAGGAACACCAGUGGCGAAGGCGGUCUGCUGGACAGCAACUGACGGUGAGGCGCGAAAGCGUGGGGAGCAAACAGGAUUAGAUACCCCAGUAGUC